RNAcentral lists this ribosomal RNA (915 nucleotides) under Methanosaeta sp. enrichment culture clone AB14. RNAcentral describes it as "bacterial SSU rRNA". It matches the Rfam family "Archaeal small subunit ribosomal RNA", at positions 1 to 922 of the family's 1478-position model. The record is from RNAcentral. Lineage: Archaea; Methanobacteriati; Methanobacteriota; Methanomicrobia; Methanotrichales; Methanotrichaceae. RNAcentral also lists the same sequence under 1 other name.
UUCCGGUUGAUCCCGCCGGAGGUUACUGCUAUCGAGGUUCGACUAAGCCAUGCGAGUCGAAUGUAGCAAUACAUGGCGAACUGCUCAGUAACACGUGGACAACCUGCCCUUAGGACGGGGAUAAACCCGGGAAACUGGGUAUAAUACCCGAUAGGUCUCGAUUGCUGGAAUGCAUCGAGAUUUAAAGCUCCGGCGCCUAAGGAUGGGUCUGCGGCCUAUCAGGUAGUAGUGGGUGUAGCGUACCUACUAGCCUACGACGGGUACGGGUUGUGAGAGCAAGAGCCCGGAGAUGGAUUCUGAGACACGAAUCCAGGCCCUACGGGGUGCAGCAGGCGCGAAAACUUUACAAUGCUGGCAACAGCGAUAAGGGAACCUCGAGUGCCAGGUUACAAAUCUGGCUGUCGAGAUGCCUAAAAAGCAUUUCAUAGCAAGGGCCGGGCAAGACCGGUGCCAGCCGCCGCGGUAACACCGGCGGCUCGAGUGGUAACCGUUAUUAUUGGGUCUAAAGGGUCUGUAGCCGGCCGGAUAAGUCUCUUGAGAAAUCUGGCAGCUUAACUGUCAGGCUUUCAGGAGAUACUGUCUGGCUCGAGGCCGGGAGAGGUGAGAGGUACUUCAGGGGUAGGGGUGAAAUCUUGUAAUCCUUGAAGGACCACCAGUGGCGAAGGCGUCUCACCAGAACGGACCUGACGGCAAGGGACGAAAGCUAGGGGCACGAACCGGAUUAGAUACCCGGGUAGUCCUAGCCGUAAACGAUACUCGCUAGGUGUCGGCCACGGUGCGACCGUUGUCGGUGCCGUAGGGAAGCCGUGAAGCGAGCCACCUGGGAAGUACGGCCGCAAGGCUGAAACUUAAAGGAAUUGGCGGGGGAGCACCACAACGGGUGGAGCUUGCGGUUUAAUUGGAUUCAACGCCGGA